UACGGGAGGCAGCAGUGAGGAAUAUUGGUCAAUGGACGAGAGUCUGAACCAGCCAAGUAGCGUGCAGGAUGACGGCCCUAUGGGUUGUAAACUGCUUUUAUAAGGGAAUAAAGUUAGUCUCGUGAGACUUUUUGCAUGUACCUUAUGAAUAAGGACCGGCUAAUUCCGUGCCAGCAGCCGCGGUAAUACGGAAGGUCCGGGCGUUAUCCGGAUUUAUUGGGUUUAAAGGGAGCGUAGGCCGGAGAUUAAGCGUGUUGUGAAAUGUAGACGCUCAACGUCUGCACUGCAGCGCGAACUGGUUUCCUUGAGUACGCACAGAGUGGGCGGAAUUCGUGGUGUAGCGGUGAAAUGCUUAGAUAUCACGAAGAACUCCGAUUGCGAAGGCAGCUCACUGGAGCGCAACUGACGCUGAAGCUCGAAA
Molecule: ribosomal RNA, 421 nt
Filed under: uncultured bacterium
Lineage: Bacteria
Description: bacterial SSU rRNA
Rfam family: Bacterial small subunit ribosomal RNA
Source: RNAcentral